Molecule: ribosomal RNA, 228 nt
Filed under: uncultured bacterium
Lineage: Bacteria
Description: partial 16S ribosomal RNA
Rfam family: Bacterial small subunit ribosomal RNA
Source: RNAcentral
UGCGCAGGCGGGCUAAUAAGUCAGUGGUGAAAUCUUUCGGCUUAACCGGGAAACUGCCAUUGAUACUGUUAGUCUUGAGUUCGGUUGAGGUAGGCGGAAUGUGUAAUGUAGCGGUGAAAUGCUUAGAUAUUACACAGAACACCAAUUGCGUAGGCAGCUUACUAGACCGACACUGACGCUGAGGCACGAAAGCGUGGGGAGCGAACAGGAUUAGAUACCCUGGUAGUC